GACGAACGCUGGCGGCGUGCCUAAUACAUGCAAGUUGAGCGCUGAAGGUUGGUACUUGUACCCACUGGAUGAGCAGCGAACGGGUGAGUAACGCGUGGGGAAUCUGCCUUUGAGCGGGGGACAACAUUUGGAAACGAAUGCUAAUACCGCAUAAAAACUUUAAACACAAGUUUUAAGUUUGGAAGAUGCAAUUGCAUCACUCAAAGAUGAUCCCGCGUUGUAUUAGCUAGUUGGUGAGGUAAAGGCUCGCCAAGGCGAUGAUACAUAGCCGACCUGAGAGGGUGAUCGGCAACAUUGGGACUGAGACACGGCCCAAACUCCUACGGGAGGCAGCAGUAGGGAAUCUUCGGCAAUGGACGAAAGUCUGACCGAGCAACGCCGCGUGAGUGAAGAAGGUUUUCGGAUCGUAAAACUCUGUUGGUAGAGAAGAACGUUGGUGAGAGUGGAAAGCUCAUCAAGUGACGGUAACUACCCAGAAAGGGACGGCUAACUACGUG
RNAcentral lists this ribosomal RNA (497 nucleotides) under uncultured bacterium. RNAcentral describes it as "partial 16S ribosomal RNA". It matches the Rfam family "Bacterial small subunit ribosomal RNA", at positions 28 to 507 of the family's 1533-position model. The record is from RNAcentral.